UAGAUACCCUGGUAGUCCACGCUGUAAACGAUGAGUGCUAGGUGUGAGGGGUUUCAAUACCCUUCGUGCCGCAGUUAACACAAUAAGCACUCCGCCUGGGGAGUACGGUCGCAAGACUGAAACUCAAAGGAAUUGACGGGGGCCCGCACAAGCGGUGGAGCAUGUGGUUUAAUUCGAAGCAACGCGAAGAACCUUACCAGGGCUUGACAUCCCUCUGACGGCUCUAGAGAUAGGGCGUCCCUUCGGGGCA
This 250-nucleotide ribosomal RNA is filed under the name uncultured bacterium. RNAcentral's name for it is "partial 16S ribosomal RNA". It matches the Rfam family "Bacterial small subunit ribosomal RNA", at positions 779 to 1028 of the family's 1533-position model. The record is from RNAcentral.